CUCAACACUCCUGAAAGGGUCUCAGGGACCCCUGGGGUCCCCGGAUCAUACUUUGAAAUCUGUUGCUAUGAGGGAUACAAGACACAGGAAACUCAGACCCUGUCCAAGGUGGAGACUGAACAUGUCUUGCACCCUGCUCUCUGUUAGGUAUCGUCAUGCUGAGUCAUCCCAACAAACCCAUGAGGUAGGCGCUGUUAUACACAGGGACAAGUAAGGAAACCGAGGCUCUGAGAGGUCACACAGUUUCUAGCUGGCAGAACUUGUACUCAGCAUCACCACCACCGGUGAAGGCUGGCACUCAGCCAACACCUGCUACGUGCCAGAGAGCCUGUGCUAAGCACUUGGGUAUCAUUUCUCACGCACGUGCACCUGAGAGGUAAGGGCUAUCCUUGUCCUCAUUUCACAGUUGAAGAAACUGGAGUUCAAAGAGGUGAAGACACUUACUCAAAAUCACAGAGUUGGGGGGAUUCUGGCUGGUUUAGGGUAUCAGGAGCCAAGGCCACUGGGGCAUGGGUAGGAGUCCUUGAGGAGAGCAAGAGACCACCAGGAGAAACGGAGCUUUAGCGCUCUGGAGACAGCAGGCCCAGCUUGGGACUGUAAAGUCUGCAAGAGCAAGGCUCCAGGUCUGUAUGUGUGAAGUCCCAGCACAGUGUCUGGCCUGUGGAAGACCCUUGAUCAAUGUUUGUAGAGGGAGUGAGGGGACUGCAAGGGUCUUGCUCUAUCAUCAAGACUGGAGUGCAGUAGUGUGAUCAUAGUUCACUGCAGCCUCAAACUCCUGGGCUCAAGCGAUCCUCCCGACUCACAACCUCCUGGAAUUUUUUGAUGGUCAUUGGGCCCAGAAGCUAAUAGAAGAUAUGGUUCUUGCCCUUGGAAAGAAGCUGACUGGUUUGGGGAAGAAGAUUUGCAUGUGUGAAACCACAACAAAGUGUCUAGGAAUGAAGACAAAUUUGUGCUAAGUGGUGUGGAGUUGACCACAAGCCACAAGGGGGUCUAUGUAGGAGGGUACAGGAGAGGGACAGGCCCACCAGGGAGUAUCCCAGAGGAAGUGGGAAUAGAGCUGGAUUCUGAAGGAUUUGGAAGGAGAAGAAAGAAGCAAAGUCUUUUAAGGGUAAAGAAGGACAUGAACAAAGUGGGUGGUGGUGACAAUAUCUCUGCAGAGACUGAGGGAUGGAAAACAGACCGGUUCUUCUUCAGACAAUGGAAAAACUCUCUGCUGAGAAAUACUUGUUGGCAAAAACCUUUCAAAGUCCCCAUUCUUGGAUCUGACUCGGCUUCACCAUUUCUCUAACCACCAGCCAAAUCUAGGCGCUCUUUUCCUCGUUUCCGGAUUCUUUUUUAAAAUUAAAAAUUUAAAUUUAUUAAUU
Molecule: long non-coding RNA, 1364 nt
Filed under: Homo sapiens (human)
Lineage: Eukaryota; Metazoa; Chordata; Mammalia; Primates; Hominidae
Description: HSALNT0047186
Source: RNAcentral